Lycium barbarum (goji berry) is the source of this 933-nucleotide long non-coding RNA. RefSeq lists it as uncharacterized. The record is from RefSeq and is a predicted model, not a curated record. Lineage: Eukaryota; Viridiplantae; Streptophyta; Magnoliopsida; Solanales; Solanaceae. The transcript is spliced from 2 exons.
ACCCGGCCCACUAUUCUUAUUCACCUAAAAGACCUAAUGAAAGAAAACAAAGAUGAGUCGCAGUCGUCUCUUUCGCUCCUUUCCCCUUUCAACAAAGAACGAUAUUUCUUUAGCCAUGACAGAUCCCUGUUUCCCUCAUUUUCGUGUAAAUGCUUUCCCUUCUUGUUUUCAACGCUCGGGUCAACAUAAAUGGCCAAAAACCCUUCUGAAAUUUCUGAAAAGGGAGCAGCUUUAAGGAUUCGAUUUUGAUUUUCAAAUGGCGAAUUCAUGUGGAAAUCCCGCCUAAAAAUUUUCGUAUAAACCCUAUUUCUCACUCUAUAAAUUGGGAUAAGCUUACACCUUGAAGGGGAGCCCUUUUUUUCGAGAGGUUUCACUCAGCGUUUCUGAGAUACUCAACUAUUUUCCAAACUUCUUUUCCUUUUCCGGUGAACUUUAACCGCGACAAGGAUAUUCGACUCACCCAACUCUAGUUUCGAAUUCGUUCUUGAGGAGAGGAGUUAGAUUCGAGGCUCCGACAUCCCCAUUUCACUGCACCCACAAAAACCGGAGAGUUUCGUUCUGAGACUCGACCACACUGCCAACCACACGAGAUCAGAAUCCAUGGCAUUCCCAGAAAAUAUUGUUCAGUUGUCACUAGACAAAAUUACAGUGGACUUCGUUUACUAUUCAUAUCUGAUACCUGUUUGUAGUUGAAUGUCUAACUGCUUAUAUGUGGGAUUAUUUUCUUUAUCUUCUUGGGUAUAGUCUGGUCGUUACAAAUGGGGUAUUAGCCCUUAACACAGCCAAGUGACUAUAGGUAGUAUAAGUUUGGGGUUCUAUUUGUUCCUAAAUACGAAUCCUAUGGGUUUGGUAUCUUAUUUAAUGGGUUUGAUGCUUAAAAAAUAUAGAUCACCUCAAGUCACUUUUGAUGCUAUAGUACAUUUUGAGUCAAAA